This 461-nucleotide ribosomal RNA is filed under the name uncultured Lachnospiraceae bacterium. RNAcentral's name for it is "bacterial SSU rRNA". It matches the Rfam family "Bacterial small subunit ribosomal RNA", at positions 920 to 1382 of the family's 1533-position model. Lineage: Bacteria; Bacillati; Bacillota; Clostridia; Lachnospirales; Lachnospiraceae. The record is from RNAcentral.
CCCGCACAAGCAGCGGAGCAGGUGGUUUAAUUCGAAGCAACGCGAAGAACCUUACCAAGACUUGACAUCCCCUGACAGCUGUUGAAAGGCAGUGUCUCUUCGGAGCAGGGAGACAGGUGGUGCAUGGUUGUCGUCAGCUCGUGUCGUGAGAUGUUGGGUUAAGUCCCGCAACGAGCGCAACCCUUAUCCUUAGUUACCAGCACGUAAAGGUGGGGACUCUAGGGAGACCGCCGGGGACGACUCGGAGGAAGGUGGGGACGACGUCAAAUCAUCAUGCCCCUUAUGUCUUGGGCUACACACGUGCUACAAUGGCCGCAACAGAGGGAAGCGAGAGCGCAAGCUGGAGCAAAACCCUAAAAAGCGGUCCCAGUUCGGAUUGUGGGCUGCAACCCGCCCACAUGAAGUCGGAGUUGCUAGUAAUCGCGAAUCAGCAUGUCGCGGUGAAUGCGUUCCCGGGCCUU